GGGUGCGAUCAUAUCUAGCGCUACAGCACCGGAUCCCUUCCGAACUCGGAAGUUAAGCGUGCUAGAGCGGGAAUAGUACUAGGCUGGGUGACCUCCUAGGAAGACCUCGUGCUACACCCC
Diospyros lotus (date-plum) is the source of this 120-nucleotide ribosomal RNA. NCBI's taxonomy places the organism in Eukaryota, Viridiplantae, Streptophyta, Magnoliopsida, Ericales, Ebenaceae. The record is from RefSeq and is a predicted model, not a curated record.